GAGUUUGCUAGUAUCGAUUUUUCAUUUAGAGACGGAGAGAUGACAUGGCACCGAUUUGAUUAAGCGGUUGAUAUUCGUCGCUCUAAGCAUGACUAUACCUAGGGAUAGACUUCCAAAAAGCUUAUGACAAAGUUAAAUGGGAAUUUUUGCAGCAGUCACUUAGAAUGAAGGUUUUGACCUAAAAUGGUGCAAGUGGGUUAAAUCGUUUGUACAAG
This 215-nucleotide long non-coding RNA is filed under the name Setaria italica (foxtail millet). RNAcentral describes it as "long non-coding RNA (SITA_LNC004032)". The record is from RNAcentral. Lineage: Eukaryota; Viridiplantae; Streptophyta; Magnoliopsida; Poales; Poaceae.